Molecule: ribosomal RNA, 3477 nt
Filed under: Triticum aestivum (bread wheat)
Lineage: Eukaryota; Viridiplantae; Streptophyta; Magnoliopsida; Poales; Poaceae
Description: partial small subunit ribosomal RNA
Source: RNAcentral
AAAAGAGAAAGAGGGGAAGACCGAGAGAGGAGAAGGAAGGCUUCCAGAAGGAGAAGAUCGGCGGCGACGAGAGGGAGAAGGGGGGGCUCGAGCUGGUUGUUCUCCGGGGAGGUAGAGGGAGAGGGAAGCGAGGCCUGGCCAGCUGCCGCGGCUUGGGGCCGAGGAGGGUGAGGAGACGGAGGAGGCCGGGCUCGUGCUGGCGCUGGUGCUCGCCUAGGGUUUGGAAGCUUCGGCUGGCUCGGAGGCGUCAAGUGUAAUGGCCACACAGAGUGCUGUUCGGUUAAUUGGAGGGGCAGGGGCUGGUGGCUGGACUAAGGAUUUCGGAGCAUUCGACUCUCCACUGGGAAAUCUUCCAGGAGAAGGGCUGGGGUUUGUGGAGAAUGGCAGUGGGAUUUAUGGGGGCUGGGGGGAAUCUGUCCCAAAUCGAAGUGGAAGCGCACCUCCUAGCAUGGAGGGAUCUCUGGCUGCUCUUGGUAAUCUUAUAGGUCAGCGGAGUGGAAACUUUGACACCAGUUUAGGUAACUUGGACAAUGUGACUGGCAGUUCCACGGCUGAGGAGCAGUUACGUGCUGAUCCUGCAUACUUUGACUAUUAUGGUUCCAAGGUGAAUUUGAACCCAAGGCUUCCUCCUCCACUAAUCUCAAGGGAGAGCCGCCGCUUCAUGAACCGUGUUGGCAAGGUUAAAGAAUGGAGAGUGGUCUCCCAAGAUGACAGCAAUAAAGGCUCCUUAUUUAUACCUCGAUCUACUCUAUCAACUCACAAGGAAGAACCUGAAGAUGAUAAGUCUCCAAGGUUGGAUUCGAGUUCUGCAGAUGAUGAACAGAUGAAUCUUGUGGAUUUUGUGCAGGAGAGCUUCCAGCAGAACCCCGAUUCGUUGUAUGAUAACUCUUCACAUCUAUCAAGCAGCAGUAUUGGUGAUGGCAUAGCUGUCCAUUCUAAUAUUGACUCAUCAAGGAAUUUGCCACAUGAUGUUGUCAAGCCGUCAGGGUUGAAUUCGUGGACACCUGUACCUUUGGCCAGUGUACUGAGAAGUACUCUUAGCAACAAUCUUUCAUCUACAUCUGUUCCCAGUUCAUCAUGUUCUGAUAAUAACCCUACUGUACAAAUUUCUGAGCAACAGCAAGAAAAGCAGAGCAUAGACAUGAAGCCUGGAAAUGAUGUGCCUGUCAGUGGGGCAGUUGUUACUGAACUUGAUGUUGUGGAGUCUAGCAUGAAGAAUUUGAAGUUAUGUUUGGAUAGCCCGACUACGUCACAAGUUAAGCAGCAGUGGCAGGGCAAUUUCUUGCAGCAGUAUGGCUUCUCACCUCUAGUCCAAGGCGACCAUAUGCCAAUGACUCCUCAUGGAGCACAUCUGCCCAAUGUUCCUUUUGUUGACAACGUGUCUCAUACUCAGCUAAAACUACCCACUGGUGACAUGCAGCAACUUUUACCUCAACUUGGUAUGCCAACACCCUUUUAUACACCGAAUUCUUUUGGAAGCCCAUAUUAUCAGAAUUUGCAUCCAGCCAGUGUAUUGGCAAAUCCUUAUGUGACUGCUGGGUAUGCUUUGGGUGGUUCAGGUUUCCCACCCGUUAUGACUAGCUAUUCUCCCCAGAGUUCUGCUGCGACACCUCUAGACAGUCCUAUGACUCCAAGCUUUAGUGGUAGGCCAUCUGGUUUUCCUUCAGCAGGGAAUCUUACUGCAGGAACCGAGUUUGUUCAGCCAUAUAAAAUGUAUGGGCAACUCGGGGUUCCCAUGCAGCCACCUAUUCCCGACCCGAACUUUUUUCAGUUCUUUCAGCAUCCCUCUUUUCCACAGUAUGCUAGUGGAAAUCAAUAUAAUACAUUGGCUCCAAGGGGUAGUGUUUUUGGAAAUGUUGCUGAUAAUUUUGAUCCACUGUUUCAGGGGCAACCUUUCUCUGGAAUUCCCCCCUCUGGUAGAAAUGAUUCUGCGAGGUUUCAGUCCGCCUCAAGAAGUAUCACUGCUGUUUCUGGGUUUCAAGGGCAGCGAGAAAGGGAGAAAUUUGAUAACCCGAAGGCAUGCACUUUCCUGGAAGAACUGAAGUCUAACAGAGCACGUAGGGUUGAGCUAUCUGAUAUCACAGGUCGCAUAGUAGAUUUCAGCGCUGACCAACAUGGUAGCCGUUUCAUCCAGCAGAAAUUGGAAAACUGCACUGCUGAAGAGAAGGCAGCCGUGUUUGCAGAAGUUCUUCCUCAUGCUUCAUCUUUAAUGACUGAUGUGUUCGGGAAUUAUGUGAUCCAAAAGUUUUUUGAACAUGGAACUCCUGAGCAAAGAAGGGAUCUUGCCGCCAAGCUUGCUGGUCAUGUUGUACCUUUGAGCCUUCAGAUGUAUGGAUGCCGAGUAAUACAAAAGGCUCUGGAAGUUAUGGAACUUGACCAGAAAAUAGAUCUGGUCCGCGAGCUUGAUGGAAAUAUUAUGCGAUGUGUUCGUGACCAAAAUGGGAAUCAUGUUAUACAGAAGUGCAUAGAGUGUGUCCCCACGGAACAUAUUGGUUUUGUAGUAUCUGCUUUUCGGGGACAAGUUGCUAGCCUUUCAAUGCAUCCAUAUGGUUGCCGUGUUAUUCAGAGAGUUUUGGAGCAUUGUGGUGGUGAUUCACGAGGUCAGUGCAUAAUAGAUGAAAUAUUGCAGUCCGCUUGCAUCCUCGCACAAGACCAGUAUGGCAACUAUGUCACACAGCAUGUUGUGGAAAAAGGAAAAAGUCAUGAAAGGGCUCAAAUUAUCAGUAAGUUGGCUGGGCAGGUUGUCACCAUGAGCCAAAAUAAAUUUGCAUCAAAUGUGAUAGAGAAGUGUUUCCAACAUGGAGAUAUUGCGGAACGAGAUCUUCUAAUCAGAGAGAUUGUGGAGCAGACUGACGGAAAUGAUACCUUGCUGGCAAUGAUGAAGGAUCAGUAUGCUAAUUAUGUUGUUCAGAAGAUACUUGAAACAUGCAACGAUGAGCAGCGGGAACUUCUGGUCAGCCGUGUAAAGGGUCACUUGCAAGCACUGAGGAAGUACACCUAUGGCAAACAUAUCGCGAGCCGAGUCGAGCAGCUUUGCGGUGAAGGAGAUGCCGAGUGUGACUCAUAAGCGACGGGAAUGCCUCAACGCCCGGCAAAUUCAUCAGCAAGGAAGAAACCAUAACUUGGAACCGCGGUGCUUCAAAGUGCUAACAAGACUUGGAACUCCAGCAAAGGAAGAUUGUACAUAUGUGACUUUGUUUAGGCAGUGUAGGGAGGUGCUAGGCACAAGGUUUAUUCUGUGCGCACCAGUGUAUCUAUGUUGAUAUGUUAGGGUGUGCUUAUCCACACUGCACUAGUUGGUAGCCGUGUGCAAAAUAUGUAUAGUACCAGUGGUUUGGCUUGUAUGUGUGAUACAUGUGUGUAUCUUGACUGCUUGGUAAUGUAAUGGCUUGGUUGCUUGCUUAAAAUCUCCAGUUGUGUGGUAAAACAUCGUCCAUUCAUUGGGUUGACUGAGGAGAAAAUGGCCUGUGAUUUAUU